Oreochromis aureus is the source of this 3239-nucleotide long non-coding RNA. NCBI's taxonomy places the organism in Eukaryota, Metazoa, Chordata, Actinopteri, Cichliformes, Cichlidae. The record is from Ensembl.
CAACAAUAUAACAAUAAGAGGUGCUUUACUUCUUUAGAAAUUAGCCACUAAUGUUGUAAACUAAGGAAAAAUAUCACAAUCUUGUUAUGUUUACUUAAUAGUAGGAGAUACUACGAUUCAUUUGCUGCUUAUGCAUCAGUGUGGCCAUAUGAUACUCUUAUACAGUGAAGUCCCACUUGGGAAAGGUUUUCCAAAGCUCACACGCUUCCUUUUGACUGCACUUGGUUUUUAAACUGUAAUAAUUAUUAACAGCUAAUGCUGCUUCCUGUUUUUGAGUUUAUUCACUGAAUAAAAAAUAAGGUGAGAUAAAAUAUGCUUUAUUUAACCCGAAAGCAGGGAAAUUAUUGUGUUAUAACAGCCAAAUUAUUAAAGCCCUUUAUACUGAGAAACUGUAGAAUUCCUCCACCUUUCUUCUUGCCUCUCAGAUUAAUGUCUCUGUCCACUCAAAAAAUUGGUCACACCAUAGUCCAGGAAGUGUGAGUGCAGCGCCUUGUCCAUGACUCACAUCAAACCGCAUUGCGGAUUCUGUUCCCCAGAUUUGUCCAUAUCAUUGACCUCUGAUAGCUGCUUAGCUCUCCAGUUAGCUUCAGCUCUGAAACCAUGUUGUGUUCACUUCAAAGUAAACAGGAUAUGCACUGCCAGAGUGAUGAGAUGGCAAAGAGUCUUGACUGCCAUGAGUGUGACAAAAAGAACCAGAAAAACAGGAAGCUUAAGAACAUAUGCGCCGGCAGCUGUUUUAGCAGUCUACCACGCAGCACUGUGGGGACAUAACUGACAACAGGUUUUUUUACAUUUUUCAUUUUGAGAAUAAGACAACAUUUCUAAAAGUCAAAAUAUUAUGUCAAGAACAGAAUCAAUAUAUCUAUAGACAAGUUGUUUCAAAUAAAGUUAGCAUUAGUGCCGCUCAUGGCUGCUGUACCCUCUACAAUACGCCUUGUGCAAUUUAACUGAUGAAAUCAUACAUCAAAGUCCCUUUUGAUAACAAGUAAAUUAUUUCUCUGUGCAUAUAAACACAAUGUGGUAAUAGAUACAGAAAAGAAGGACUUUGAAGAGAUGGUACAGAAAAUCACAUCUGUUCUUUCUAUCUUAAACCCCACAGCUGUUAUCAGGCCUGGACUGGGACGAAAAAUCGGCCCGGGCAUUUUGACUAGAAACCAGCCCACCAGGUAUUAUAGGAAAAACCAUAAAGCCUUUGAAUAAAAACUAACUCUGUUGUGACAGUGAUGUACACUGUCUUGCUGUUAUAUAUGUCUCAAUCUAAUAAACUUAAACCUACACCAUCCUCCCUGUUCUGGUAUUCUAAACCGUACUUAGCCAAAACCCAAAGACUCCUUGGUCGAGUUAACCUCCUGAACUAUUUACAACACAUGGUGGAAACCUGAAAUUAAGACAGAGAAGGCUAGAGGUGAGACAUUAUCAUUACUGAAUAUUAAAAAUAAUAAAUGACAGAUUUAGUGAUAUUUUCAUAAACUUUUUUUUUACCACAUCAAUAAACAGCAUGGCAGGGCAAAAUAUUUUUUUCUAAUAUUGCAACCUUUAAAAAGUGAAAGGAGACAGAAAGAGGUGAGAAAGAAUAAAACUUAAUUGACUUUUUGAUGGUAUUUUACACACAGUACUGGUACAGUAUCUAGAAAAUGUGGGAAAAUACUGGCAUCAUAUACAGAACUUAUUUCUGAAGAAAUUAUGAUGGGACCCUGAAAAAAGAAAUUACUAUGUACAAUAAUGGGUUUCUAUACAUUUUCCAUCAGAUGAAAACGUUAGUUGUAAGAUUCAGAUAAUCAUUUGUUAAAAGUGAGACAUUUUAAAUGAGAUUAACAAAAGAAAAGUAUUUCCUUGUGCCCCCCUUUCCCUGUUAAUGCCCUACCUGGCCCCCUGGCAUAACUUUGCUAGAUCCGCCCCUGCACAGUUACCAGCUGUCAGCUACAUAGAAAAGGAUCCUGGUGUUAUUUGUCUCUCAGAAACAGUUCAUAACUUCCCUUCAACCCAUUCAUGUCACCUAAAAGGUAAACCUGUUUCUACAUCACCUGUUCAGCUCUGAUGAUUCAGUAAGGACAUCUCCUGGUUUCAUCUUCAUGUUUCCCUCUCACCACAUAUCCAAACCGACAUCAUGACCAGCAGCUUUACAGCUGUGGCUCCAGCAAACAUCAGCUGAUACUAGAAAGUAAUAUUAAAUAAAUUCUAACAACAGCUGAUUAAGCUUAAACGUGCUGCUGUUGUUUGGCGCGACCUCCGCUGGUUCCUUCUUUCUGGUGCAAAGUGGGCGAUAAACAAGAGAGACGGGACUUGCGUCAGAAACACCGAUCAGCUGAUCAUUGAUCAGUGUCAUGAUUGAAGCAGCAACAGGAGAGGGAGGGGGAGAGAAUGAGAGAAGAAGAUGCAGCCGACAGCGUAAGGAUGCAGAAUAACUCCUGCCUCACCUUUCCCUCAUCCACCUGCUGGCCUCCACCACUUGCUAAUGUUAAUGAAUCUGUGGAAGCGACCACCAAACAAUUUAGUUAUUUUUACAGAUCUGCCAGCAUCUGGCCAACCCACCACCUUUCAGUGUUUAUAAAACAUCGGCCCAUAAAAACAAAAAAUCACCAUCGGCCCACCGGCCAAAUGCCCAGUAUGCCCGAUGGCCAGUCCAGCUAUGGCUGUUAUCCCCAUUAUAUAGAAUGAUCUUCAUUUGAGUAUUUUUAAGUGAGAAAAAUACAUCAUAGUGCCUAUGCGUUAUAUAUGGGGAAAUUAAACCCUAACAUCUAGAAUUAUUUGCUUCUGAAAUAUUAUAUCUAUCAACUCUUAGUUCAAAAGCUCAGUUUAGAAAAGAAACAAAUACUGAGAAAGAUUUUCGAAAGCAAAGAAUCAGCAUUUUAACAUCUGUGAUUCUCUUUUUUUGGUCUUUUUUCAUCUUCUAAGUAUAAUUUUCUUAUAGUGAGCUUUUUUUGCUGUUGUUUGUUUGUUAGUUUGUUUUUAACAUUAGCACAACUGGAGCAGGUAAGAAAGUCAUUGUUGGUUUGACUCAUUUGAUCAGGGACACAGUAGCAGUGUUUCAUCAUGUUGUUGAUCUGUAAUAUACAACACAUAACACCACAGUCAGACAAAAUCAUAUGCAGACAACAGUCAAACAUGUAGAUGCAAUAAAAGUUUGCCAACUUACCGUUUUAAACCAUCAUGAAGAAAUUUUAUUGAAAGUACGAUGGUUACCGCAUUUGCAAUAAUUAAAAAUACGGCCAGAACAAACAGCACCGUUUCCUCCUGAU